This 434-nucleotide ribosomal RNA is filed under the name uncultured bacterium. RNAcentral's name for it is "partial 16S ribosomal RNA". It matches the Rfam family "Bacterial small subunit ribosomal RNA", at positions 29 to 508 of the family's 1533-position model. The record is from RNAcentral.
AACGAACGCUGGCGGCAUGCCUAACACAUGCAAGUCGAACGAACCCUUCGGGGUUAGUGGCGCACGGGUGCGUAACGCGUGGGAAUCUGCCCUUUGCUUCGGAAUAACUCAGGGAAACUUGUGCUAAUACCGGAUGAUCUCUUCGGACCAAAGAUUUAUCGGCAAGGGAUGAGCCCGCGUAGGAUUAGGUAGUUGGUGGGGUAAAGGCCUACCAAGCCGACGAUCCUUAGCUGGUCUGAGAGGAUGAUCAGCCACACUGGGACGGAGACACGGCCCAGACUCCUACGGGAGGCAGCAGUGGGGAAUAGUGGACAAUGGGCGCAAGCCUGAUCCAGCAAGGCCGCGUGAGUGAUGAAGGCCCUCGGGUCGUAAAGCUCUUUUACCAGGGAUGAUAAUGACAGUACCUGGAGAAUAAGCUCCGGCUAACUCCGUGC